Molecule: non-coding RNA, 1146 nt
Organism: Jatropha curcas
Lineage: Eukaryota; Viridiplantae; Streptophyta; Magnoliopsida; Malpighiales; Euphorbiaceae
Source: RefSeq, a predicted model, not a curated record
AAACAUGAUAAAUUUGAAUAGGAAGUUAUGCUGUUGAUGAACAUAAAGUCAAUGAUGGCAAGUUUCAUCUGCCACACCCUCUUUUGGAAGACUGAAAUCAAGUGCUAAAUUUAAAAUUUAACCGUUUCUCAAAGAAACAAUAUUCAAUGGGAGCCCAUGUAUUUAUCUAACUUGGGAACGUUAGCCUAGAUAUAUUGAGCUAAGUUUCAAAAGCUUGCAUACAUCUAACCUUCAUCCUUCUGCACCACGACAACCAAAACUAUUUUAAAUUGCAAAUCCCAUACUUAUUUUUAACAAAAAUUUAAAUUACUUACAAUUUUCUUAAAUAUUUAUUCAAAGGUUCAAAAUGUGAUGUUGCUCAUGUCAUGUUUAUUAUCCAAUCAAGCUUUUCGUUAAGGAUGGGCUAUAUAGUUGAAAGGUGGGGCUCAUCUGAAUGGAAUACUGAUUUGCAUAGGAAUAUAAACAAAGGGAAAACGUUAUAUUUUCAACUUUUGAUGACUGAAUCCUAUCAUUCAAUCUAAACUCUGGUGAGCUAUGGCAGAUCCACGUGUUAUGUAUUCAGAACCGGCAAAGUUCGUAGCAAAGCUGAGGGAUAUGAAAACUGAUGAUAAUUUGCUGCUGUUGAAAUGUGAUCUCUGUGCUGGGCAUUCUUCAAAGUCAGGAAGGUUUGAGAGGCUUCAGGAAGAUGCAUUCAAAUAUACUUUUCUGAUGAAGGUUCUAAAUAUGAUCCCUGACCUUGGUUCUAGCUAGAAAUGAUAAAAUCUAUGCUUAAAUUUCAUAUUCUUCAUCUCUGCGAACUAAUACUAUGGUUCAUGCGGAUAGAUAUAUACUUGAAAUGAAGGUGAAAUUGAAUGCGUUUCAAAUAAAAAAUCUUAAAAAAUUAAAAUUAUAAUAAAACCAAAUUCUCUUUCAUUUCAAAUGACUGUCUAUUCAAAUGGACCCUAUAUGUAUUUGACAUUGUAUUUAAGUGUAGAACAUUGCAUUUUGAUUAAAUUUUGAGAUUUGAAAACAUAUGUGAGGUAACUGGGCAUUCAUUGUCAAAAUGGUUUGGUUUUUCUAAUUGGGAUGUGCGCAUGGUCUGUAGAUUAUUUACAGAAUCAUUUAAUGCAAUAAAAAGAGGGCAAGAGGGGACAACGUUUGUGCAUU